AUAAUUUCCAGAUAAACCGACACAAACACUCGAAGCGAUAACACACUUUUAGGAGUAAUAAAUAUAGACAACGUGCACUGCAAUCAGGUGUAUAAAUAGGCUCGUCUUGUUUCAGACUGCAUUCAUUCAUUCACUGAAGGAAAACGCGAAAUCGUUCAACUUACAAAAAAAAAAAAACAAAAAAAAAACAAGAAAAAUGUCCUCCGUUUUGAGAAUCGUUUUAAUUGCAUUGAUGGUUGUUUGCUUUUUGAUGGCAUUUGCAGAAGCAUCACCGUUCGACACUGAGCCUGCAGCAGAAGCAUCGCAAGCAGCGUGUUUGCCAGCUAGCUGUCAAUCGUAUGGCUGCUGCUCCGGAAACUGUGGCUAUUGGUGUCGAGCUUGCAACAUUAACUACGUUUGCUAAAACUGCACCACCUGCACUGUAUGUUGGGAACAUAUUGAUUUAUAAACUCUUUCCGUCGAAUUGUAAAAAUUAUUUGUAAUUAAAGUAAAUUUAAAAAAUUAACAAAAAAAA
Bradysia coprophila is the source of this 514-nucleotide long non-coding RNA. Lineage: Eukaryota; Metazoa; Arthropoda; Insecta; Diptera; Sciaridae. The record is from RefSeq and is a predicted model, not a curated record.